UUUCCGUAGGUGAACCUGCGGAAGGAUCAUUACUGAGUGAGGGCUCUCUGGGUCCAACCUCCCACCCGUGUUUAUUGUACCUUGUUGCUUCGGUGCGCCCGCCUCACGGCCGCCGGGGGGCUUCUGCCCCCGGGUCCGCGCGCACCGGAGACACCAUUGAACUCUGUCUGAAGAUUGCAGUCUGAGCAUAAACUAAAUAAGUUAAAACUUUCAACAACGGAUCUCUUGGUUCCG
Molecule: unclassified non-coding RNA, 234 nt
Filed under: plant metagenome
Description: partial contains small subunit ribosomal RNA, internal transcribed spacer 1, and 5.8S ribosomal RNA
Source: RNAcentral